Molecule: long non-coding RNA, 40303 nt
Filed under: Coffea arabica (coffee)
Lineage: Eukaryota; Viridiplantae; Streptophyta; Magnoliopsida; Gentianales; Rubiaceae
Description: long non-coding RNA (CARA_LNC007522)
Source: RNAcentral
UUUUUUUUUUUUUUUUUUUUUGUCAACCCAGGAAUAUCCCAACUUUGUCGGACUAAUUUCCUGAACCUGGAGUACCCCGUCCCCCAAGAGCACCCAGGCGAUAUGUGAAGCCAGACUCGAACCGCGUCCCACGAGGAUUACCCCGAGGAUUCACCGGCUGAGCUGACCCUGACACUCCACCUGCCCCUUAUUCACUAUGUCCAAAAUAUAGCCCCUGUCCCUUAUUCUUUUUUAUUGGUGGGGGGGGGUGGGGGGGGAAUGAUCGGAAUUUUUAUUGUAGAAUCAAAACUGUCCCUUAUGCGCAAUUAUUGCACUAAACAUCGUUACUAACAAGCACAAUUAUUGCACCAAAUCGGAUGAAAGUUCAACCAAACGUCCCUUAUUAUUAUUAUUUUUUUCAACAGACGUCCCUGUCCCUUGUUCACAUGUCCAAAGUUCAACCCAAUCGGAAAACAUUCGUGUUAGGUUUGCAGUAAUAUACGAGGAGAUUAUUUCGUUUUGGCUUACGGUGGAAAGCGAACGCAUGAGAAAGCCAAUAAGUGCUUGGUGGGGCCGGGUAGAGGGAGGAAGCAUGCAAUUCACGUGGCUAAAAAAAAACUUUUGAUAUCAUAGGGGAGCCCUUUUGCAAAUUUAGUCAGGAUUUGGGGCAGGGACGGUCAUACUGAUGACCGUCCCUGCACGGUUCAUGGUCCAGAUUGGACCAUGAAAAAAUGUGCGGCUCACAUAACAAGUGGUAAUUCGAUUUUCGCGUCAAGUGUGGGGCCCACCACUAUGUGUUGUGAAAAUACAAUCUGUGAAAAAAAAGUUACACGGUGAACAAAAGAAGUUACGCGCUGUUGAUGAAGAGGGAAUUUGCCCUGCAACCGUCCCUGCCCUGAGUCCAUUUAGUCAUCAUAAAAUGGUCCAAUAAUUAGAGAUAUUUUUGGAAACUCUCCUGAUAGGUUGUCAGUAUCUGUGUAAUAAUAAAAAUAAGUCUAAUUGCCAAUUAAAGUAACCAGAACCCGAUUCUAAAUACUGGAGCAGGAACUCUAGAUGUGUAAUAGAUUACUUGAUUCACCAUAUUCCCGAAAAGUUUGCUUGAUCCGAUGUACCCGAAUGGGUGGCUUUUUCACAAGUACUUAUUAAUCUGUAAAUAGGGCAAGUAGGGUCGUAUCCUCAGAGAUUGAGGAUAAUUGUCUCUUUUUGAUGUUCAAAGUAACAAUGGAGGAUUUUUUUUAUAGCAAUGACAAUAAGUAAAUGGUUCGAAUAAAAAUAAAUAGUCAACAAAAGAUUAAAUGGCAAAUUACUAAAAUCAGAGUAAUAAUAACUAAAGGUCUAGCCAAGAAAUAACUUCAGCAAUGGUUCAACUAAUUGAUCAUCGAUGCAGAGAUAAUUCCAAUUAUUAACUAAUAAAUAGAUUAUAACUCUUAAACAAGCGAUGACAGUCAGCUCUUGCUUACUGUGUCGAUGACUGAGGUACGCUCGUCAAUCACUACCAUAAUUGAGAAAUAAUUUUAGGUACACCCAUAAGAUUUAAUUCCCCAAUUGCCUUACGUAUUAGAGGGACCUUAUUUUAACCAAAUAACACACUACCAGGGUUAUUUUAAAUUAGCCUGUGUAUUCUCCUGACACAAAUCUAAUCAUGUCAGUUGUCACUAUUUUAGAGCAAUUAAACAAUUACGGAUUUAACGCUCUAAUCGACAUCAGGUUACUAAAUUAAUUUAAUGUCCAGGCCUAGGAUAUUUAAUUAACAAAACAACCAUAAACAUUACAAAUAGAGAAAAUGCAAAUACGAAUAAGAGAAAUAAAUAAAAUUAAUCCGAUUUCAUAAAUUUUAGAUGAACCAAAACCUCCGUUAUUCCUUGAUUAGAAAAAAAAGGAUUUAGUUCAUCCCAUUGAGGAGAAACCACGCAAAAUUACAGAAUUAAUUGUUGCAUACAUCGUCUCUCCUUUAAGAUGACCAGUCCGUUGGAAUAAGGAAAAGAAAAGCAAAAACUACAAAGAAUGGCUAAUUGUUCCUUCUUGAGUCUCUGCCCAUACGAUGGAAAAGAAAGCUACCAAAAAAGUGUAAAAGUCAAUAGCCCAGGAGCCGUCAAAAUUGACGGCUAUUUUCUCUUUUUAUUUCCUAUCUCAUCUGCACUUCCUAUUCGGCUACCAAGAAGGAGUAAAAGGAAGACUCCUAGUCUCCCUUGACUUCCUCCGCUGCUGGCUCUCCAAAAGCUACCAAAAAGAUAGGAGUCCUGAUACCAAUUUGACUCCUUUCUUUGCACUUCCAAAUGAGAGUCAGAGUGUUGUGUGUCUUUCCUGAACCUUCUGCACAUGUUGAGAUCUGGGUUGACGCGACCACGCCAAGCAGUAUUUGCAAUACAAUUUUUGUAUUUUUUUAUCACAUUUUACUCCAACUCCCUGUGAUAAGCACAAAUACCAAAUAUAAGUAAGAUUUGACAAUUAAUUCACGUAUGAUAAAGUAACGGGGGAAAUUAAUUAUAAAAUAAAUAACAAAAUUACGACCUAUCAUCUCCAGAUAUGUGGGCCCCAACAAAAAUGAAAAUAAAAAAGUGAAUGGUACCAAAGAAACAUGAAAGAAAAAGAGGACUGGGUAUUAAGAAAACGGUGGACUUUUCAAAUAUAGUGUUGCAAUUUUGCACUUGAAACAAGAAAAAAUAAUGCCUCAUAAGUAUUGUAGAAGGAUAAGUUAAUUAAGUGGAGUGUAAAGAUAAUUGGAAGAACUGGAAAUUUAGAUGUGAUUAUAUUAUAUGACAAUUAGCAAAAGUAGUAAAUGUUAGUAUUGUUCGGUAAAAGUCAAUUCAGACUGUCGAAAAAAAAGACAUCGGCUUCUGUGGGGGAGUGAGGGUUCGAAUAAGUUCGGCUGAAAGAGUCCGUGUCAGCGGGUUCAAAAGAGUCCGAGGGCAGGCUCCCUUGUGGAGGUUUGAUAUCCCACAUCGGGGGUUGGGGUUGGGGUUUGUUGGGUUAUAAGUCCCUGGGACAUGCUCAAGAGUUGCCGGCUUUUGAGUACUGUUCUGGGAUUAGGUUUAUAAUUUCGGUAAAAGUCAAUUCAGACUGUCGAAAAAAAAAAAAAACAAAAGUGUAAUUAAAAAUUGGAUGAAAAUUAGAUUUUUGCAUAUGCGCAUGUUGGAGUUGAAGUCCCUGCAUAUUGUUUAAACGUAAGUAAUAAUAUUUUAUUGUAAUAAAAAUUAAAACAUAUUAUGUUAGUAAAUAAAUUUUUUAUCCAAAUAAACGGAAAAAGAAAAGAAUCAAAGAAAAUUCGUACCAUGACACAAUGAUGAUUGUGACAAGUGUCAACUAAUGAAAUAUUAGCCCCGGUUGUUAAAUGAAUUUUUUUGAGUGUUUGUCUAAAGUUUUAUUGUAAUUUAAUGUAGAAGUUGUAAGAAAAAUUUUUGAAGUGUGUAAAUUUUUGGGUAUUUUGAAGUGUAUAGUUUAAAAAUUUUGAGAAGUUUUUUGAGAUGACUGUGUAGUUAAAGUUGUUAAAAAACUUGUAGAAGACAAACUUGGCCAAAAACUUGUUUGCCAAACAUUGGAGUUAAAAAAAAGAUUUAGGUAUUAACAUGAGAAUUAGUUAGGCAACAACUGAAAAUUUUGCUUGAAUUUUCGGAAUAAGUAGAGAGAAUGAGAAGGACAAAAAAGCAAAAGAAAGUUAGUGGAUUCGCUUAAGGAUUAAUAUUCUAUAUUUUAUAUACUGACAACGUACACACUGUCAAUUUUGGAUAAAUGACAACUAUGCAAAAUUUAUAUUUGGAAUCGAACUUUUACACGUACGUCAUAAAUCCAACAGCAACGAUGUAUACAUUGUCAGUGAGUAUAGAAUUUAUUCUUCACUUAACAACCCAUGAAUAUUUUAGUUCCAAUCUGGAUUUAGAUUUAAAUGAGUCAUUCGAAUCCAUCAAAUCAAAACUCGCUAAAUAAAUAAGUCUAAGUAGCAAUGUAUAAGCAUAACAAAUAAUCCAAAAUUGAAUUUAGCUUGAAAAAAAUACACGUGACAUGCAUUUGGACUAGUAUAUCUACUUUCAAUAAAGAAAAUAUUAAACCUUUUUUGUACUAUCUAUACAAUAGAUAAAGUUAAAGAUUAGGAGGAUUAUCAUGUAGUGUUUGCACACGCUUAAUAUUUUCUAAACUUUCAUUUAUACCUUUAUUAUUAACAGUAUUUAAUUUUUCUUUAGAUAAAAAAUUAUGAUUUCAAGGGUAGUUGUGUCAAUUAAUUAAUUACACUCCCUCCUGUUUUAAAAUAUGAACUUAAAUUAUGUUAGUAAUUGGCCAAUUGAAAUUAAUUACCAAAAAAAUCACCAUAUCAUAAAUAUCCUUGACAAAAACUAAUUUUCAUGAAUAAUAUUUUUAGAAAAAAACCAUAAUUUUGAUUACUUGUGCACACCUAGAAAGUGUCUUACGCACUAAUAUGAUAUUAAGUACCAAUUGUUCGUUGACUUUUCUUUUUCUUUACUUGCAAUUGAUCAUUGAUUCAUUUUGCAUACUCUCAAAACAUUAAGGUUAAAAAAAAAUUAGUCAUAGUUUGAGGAUUGCAUCACAUAUUUCUUGAAUUUUCACAAAAAAUUUAUCUACACAAAUUUUACCAUCAACCAAGUUUAGCAUAAGUCAAUUUAUUUCAUGUACUUAGAAGGCAUUCGGUAAGUUGGUUCCUUAAGGAAUGAGUUUCAAAAUUGGGGGGAGGGUCGGGUUGGAUGGUACGGGGGGAGGGAGUGUAAGUGAGAGGUCUCGGAUUCGAGUCCUCCUGCUUACACUAAAAAUAUAUAUAUAUAAAAAACAAAAAAAAAGAGUUUCAAAAUUAUUCAUAGUGAUACUUAUCAUUUGAUUAAAGUUAACUAGAAUGACUUAAUAGAUAUCGUAGGCUCAUUUUGUGAUUGACUAUUAUUUUAAUAAGGAAUCAAUAUUUAUUCACCAAUGUAAUUGAUAUUUUUCAUUAAAAAUAAAAAGUUAACAAAUACUAGAAGAAAUUAAGAGAGUAAAGAAAAUUUAGAAAAAAAAGAUUAGGAAAAAGAAAAAAAUGUAGACCUAUAUGUAUAUUUUUAGUUAUAAAACACUCGAUGGGUUUCAACAAGAAAAUCCAUUACUAUUAACUAAUAAAUAAUACUUAGUGAAUGUAGGUGCAUUGUUAUUAUAAUAUAAUACUUAAGAAAGUUUACGUGACAAUAAAUCAUUAGGUGUUUAAAAAGCGUUAAAUCAAGGUGAACUUGAUAUACUUUAAACUCUUUAGAGAAAUAGAUAGAAGACAUACACUUCAUGAUAAUGUGGAACAAAUGGGAUCUAACACUAGAUUAAACUAAGUUAAUGAAUUUUGUACAUGCUAAAUAAAAAUGUCUUCCGAGUUCCCAAAAGGAUAAAGAUGCCACAAUAAAAUAAUUGGGAAUGUUGCAUUGGGUCAAGAAGAUCUCACGGAUGUUAGAACCGAAGACAGCAAAGUGGCAUCUUUAUUCCUUCUCCAUAACAGGCUCUAUUUUAGGGAAGUUCCAAAAAAUAAAAAUUGGUGGCUACCGCCAAAGCAUUAAAUCUUGAUGGGGUUGCCUCCCACCAAUUUGUCAUAAUUAAGUGUGGCCUUGUUUAAAAAAUUCAGGCGGGUAUUUAGUGUACCCGUUUGAUCCGGUGAUGGUUCAGUCCCCUUCGAAUUAUCUUUGGAUCUCUUCAGGUUCUUCCCCUCCAGUGUAGUAAGCUAUGUAUUGACAAAAAAAACAAAAAAAAAAAAAAGAAAGAAGACAGGCCCUAUUUUAGGGAAGUUCCAAAAAACAAAACUGUGGGCCCCUUGCUCAUUACCGAUUCUAGCCUGUCUAGAACUUCCUCUAUUACAGAGAAAUUGACAUAAAGAGCACUUUGCCCGAGCUACAAUUUUCAUUUUUGUCUAUCAUUUGCCCACUUAGUUGUGUUGUUCUAUUCCUGUUACUUUUUCCCACCGUGCAAAGAUGACUCAGCUUUGCACCAUAGAAGCAAUUAUUUAUUGGUGGGACGAUUUUUUUCUUUUUCUUUUUGUAUUUAAAUAUCAAAAGAAAAAAAGAAACCUAGGGCUGUUUCUCCAAAUUAGCCUCUGUCAUUGAAAACAAAGGUUAAAGGGAUAAAUAAACAUGUGAAGUUAUCUUCUCUUUUCAUUGUGUUUUAGUUGUAGUAAAUAAAAUCUAAUGUGAAAGAAUCCAUUGCUUUCUUAGUGAUUAUCAUUGAAUAAAACACUUGGAAUAGCUAAGGGCAUUCUUAGUUCUGCGUUGAACUGGUAGAAGAGAUGCAAGAAACUGGAAGCAUAAAGAUACUGCAUGCUACUGUAUUUCUUUCAGCAUGCAGCAUGUGUGAGACCUGAAAAUUAUUUUAUAUUUUUUUUUAUUUUUGAAAAAAUUAAUUUAUAUUUUUUAUUUUAAGUCAAGAUUAAGUCAAGAUUUUUCUCUUUGUUCUUUUAUAAUUUGGUGCAUGUUAAGUUUCGUAGAAUAUUAUGAUAGAUUGACUGAUUAGUGAGGUGUGCGUAUUAUAUUUGGUGGACAAAAAUGAGCGUGGUGCUAGAGGAACUAUGUGAUUAGAAUUGUUAAUAGUGUAUUAGAUGAAUACAAGGUAGAUUGGUUAUUAGAGACACAAGAAAAACAAAGAUAUAGGAAUGGAACCAUACAGUGCCAAGUGUCAACGCUUGAAGCUUUCAUAGACGAAGACUUUUCUCUAGUCUUUCUCUUGCAUUUUAACAAAAAAUUUCUUCAUUUUUUCUUGCUCUUGGUCGAAAUUAAGAGAGGGAAAUAGGAGAGAAAAACUUCCAAAGUUCAUCUUGAUUUCCUUGCUUGAUUUGUGAAGAAUCCAAAGACCAACCUUAAUUCACUCCAAUAAACCUUUAGUUAAGCUUGGAGGUGAGCCUUUGAUGGAGUUAUUUGAUGAAGAGAACUCUUGAGUUGCUUGUCACUUGGGAUUUUGAGGUAAAUUUUCUAGAUAACAUCUCUUUUUACUUGUUUCUUGAGAUUUAUGCAAGAUAUGUUAUGAUUGAAGUUAAAGGAAGUAUGUUUAUGGUAAUUUCAUGGUUUUGCUAGGGUUUGAUGAAGUUGUUGCUAGGGUUUGGUCAAUUUCCAACUUUAAUGUUCCAUUUUCUAACUUUGAGAUAAAUUUCCAGCUUUCAUAAGAGAUAUCCUAGCUUUGAUAUAAAAUUUUAAAUUUUGAUAUGUGAAUUUUAGUCUUGGUAUGCAAAUUUCCAGUUUUGAGAGGUAAAAUUCCAACCUUGAUGUAGUUACUUGACGCUUUAUAUAUAUGUGGAGUUGUGAUGGAUUUUCUUGCCAAGAAUAUAUGUCAUAAGCCUCAUGACAUGUUAGUUGUAAGAUAUAGUGCAUUUGCCAUGGAAUUAAGUAAGCAAGUUGGGAAUUUUGAAGGAGAUUUUUGCUGGAAAAUUUCUGUUGUGGCUGGCCAAGAAGGAGAGAAGGAAUUGCAGCUUUCUUUUCAGAAAUUUUGUGGUAAUUUUGAUAUAGUCUUGUUCAAGACAUUUGUUAAAACCUUGCUCUUCAUAUGUAUGUUGAUUUUGAGCCAAAACAAAGAGGUUUAAAAGGAGAAAAACCUCAAACUAUUUGCUUGCCAGAAUUUUCACAGGAGGCUCUGCGCAAUUUUGGAAAAUUUGCUAUAACUUCAUUAGAAAAGUUAGAAUUGAAUUCCAUUUGUUACGAAACUAGACUCAUAGAUCUUCCAACAGUAUAAAAUUCAGGGUUUGGUUCAAUUUCUCUAAAUACUAGCGAAUCAACAAAGUUUCUUAAAAAUCAUGAUUGUUCUAUUUCUGCACUUGUGAUAGUAGUGAGUUUUAAACUGAAAUUUGACUAAUCUAUGAGGUGAAUUUCAUGAAGGUGUCUUCUAAAGUCUGUUAGUGCUUCGAGUCUAUUUUCUAACAGUGUAAGUUUUAUGAUUUUUUGACUUACAGAACUCAAAUUAUAUCUUUUCAAAGAAUAUCACUAAAGUUGGGAAUUUUAUCAAAUGGAUUGAGUGGGACUUGAAAAACUUUAGAAAAACUUUUCUGGGUUUUAAACCUGACAUUCUUUGGUUAAAUCCUGUAUAUUUUCAUUUGAAAUAUUUAGUCUGUUAACCUUAGCAUGCAUGAAUAUUUCACUUGAUUUGAACUUGAUAAGAACUUGAUUUAAAUAAGGAACCAUGGCCCUUCUGGUCUUUUAAUAUUAGGGUUAAACCUGUAACUUCUGUGGUUGCUAAGUGAAGUUUCGAAUCUCAUAUUUUCUCAUCAUCUUGACUUUAAGUGACUAAACUCUUGAUGGAUUACAUGAUCACAUGACUUGAAAGUGUCCAAGAGGACGAACCAAGGUUGAAGUGAAACGAUGGUGAUCAAGUGGUAAGUGUUCCUUGCAUGUUUGUGCUUUAAAUGACUAAGUGGAAUGUUGUGUAUGUGUUUGAGUAUUAAAUGCUUUCCAAUGAUUGUUAAAUGGAUUUUUAAUGGGUGAGUGUAUACUUUAUCGCACUUGACCUAAGUAAAAAUGGGUUUUCAAUGAUCAACUGAUUGAACAUUAUUUAUGCAUGAAUGUAAGUCAUGCGGUACUGUACUGUACCGUACCGUAUUGAUUGGAUUAAACCCUUGCCCUUCGUCGCUAGCCUAUUCGAGCCAGAAGCAGAUUCGGUCGGGUAGGUUGGUGACCUUGGGCCACUGUUUUGGUAUACUCGAGCAUGACCAUGAAGUCUGGUGGAGUACUGGCUAGUGAAUGAAAUGACUGACUGAAUGAAAUGAUCACUGUUAGAGUUUUAUUUUCAAAUAUUUUCACAUGUCGGAGGUAUAAGGGAGAAAUAGUUGGAGACUGAAUGACUAAAUAAAUGAAUGACUCCAAAUAAGCACGUAUCCUUCUACUGAAUGUGUUAUUAUUAUUUGAAUGCUUCAAAUGUUUUCCUUGGUUGGUUAUUGCUAAAUGUAAUAUGUUCGUGAUUUAUUGCUUGAAUGCUUGUUUGGAAAUCUCAUUGGACUUUUAGCUCAUUUUUGUUUAUUUUCCUUACAGGAGUGGAGGUUCAGAACAAAUAAGCAUGAACUAGAGUGUAUAACCCUCUUGUACUUGUACUUUGGUAGAUAAAAUAUAUUUUAAAUAUUUGAUGUUGUAUCUUACAUUUCACUUUUGGUUUGUAAUUAAACUUGAAUCAAUGGUUGAAUUAUAAAACUUAAAUGUUAUUUUGGAUGUCUGAACGGUUAUUUUGAUAAUUGAUUGAAGUGAAUGUAGUGAGUCCUGGCGAGAAUUGGGCAGGAAUUCUGCCAAACCAUUGGAUACACCAUAGGGGAAGGUGGGAUCGUCACAGCAUACAAAUGAAGGAGCAAAGUGAGGAAGUAAAUAUUAAUUGUUUUCCAGCAUUGAAUUUGUCUACAACUACAAUUUUGGCUGUGCUGUAAUGACAAUGAGCUACCCACUUCAGGGGUUAGGAGCCUUUCCAAUUACUACGAUGAGGGUCUACAAUCAGUGGAGACAACGACAGACACAAAAGGGGUGGCCAGGGCAGCCAUCUUCAAAAUUUUCCAAAAUGCUAUAUGGAGCAUUAGAUUUAAGUUUUUUUUUAAGAUUAGUUAACACAUCUACCUCCUUUAAUUUCUCUUUGAAAACAUGUUUUGUAAUACCUCACUAUAGUUUCCUUAUAUAUAUAUAUAUAUUAAAUUUCAUUAUAACUUUAAUGUAUUUAGUAUAUCCUUACAUUAGUUUGUUAGGGUGGUUAUUUAUAUUUAACCUUUGGUGAAAACCAUCACAGAUUAAACCCAAAAUCAAUACGGCAAUUAUUAAGAAAUAAAUUACUGAUAAAAUUGCGGAAGCGUACCUGGAUUCAUAUCGACAAACUGAUAUAUGAAUCUCUAAGGGUAUUGGGGUGGUCUUCCAGGUCUACACGUAUUCGCCGAUCCUUGAGAGACUCCUUUAGUAUCUCUCUGGUAUUUUUCCUGACGAUGGGAUAUCAGGAAAUGGCCAAUUUUGUGAUACUAGAAAAUACGAUAAAAUAAAAAUACGUGUGACCUGGGGACCAUGACCCUAUUUAUAGGUAACAUUCUUGUUAUCCUUUGGAACCCUAUUUCAGCCCAUCAUAGAAAUAGAAACCCUUAAGUCUCUACACAUUAAAGGCCCACACCCUAUUAGACACAUUAAGUCCAAACUAUAUUUGAUCACUUUAAUUGGGUUUAAUCUUAAUUGACAAUUUGCAAUAAAUAAUUAUUUACAUAUAAGUCCAAUGUUGGAUUAAGGAUCCAACAUAGUUAAGGUAAGAAAACAAAUAAUUGAUAAAUAAAAGGAAAUUCAACCAUGUUUAGAAUUAUAUUUAUAUGUAAUCAACUUGAUGCACUAGUCAAAAACCAAUACCCAAUGAUUCAAUCAGGUCAAAAAGUAACAUCCAAAGGAACAAGCAAGUAUUUAUCUUUCCUUCAAGAAAAGUCUAAUUUUUUCUCCUUUACAAUUGUAUUAUAUUUUGAUUCACAAUCAUUAAUUUAUGACUUAGAUUUUUUUUAUGAUUAUUAAUUUAUCAGCUGUUCUUAUCUUAAAUUUGUAUCUUUGAAUUUUUGUGUUAAUUUGUAUAGGGUUAAUGUCUAUUCAUUGAAUUUAGUUAAUAUUUAUGUGAUUUUGUUUCAUAAGUUAGUUUUCGUGUUUUACUUUAUGCUUUUGUCUCUUAUUAUUAAAAACAUUUAGUUGUUAGUUAUCGUUUAUUAAACUUUAGUUUUAAGACUUUGAUUUCAAGUUAGUAUUCAUCAUUUGUUUUGAUAAUAUUUUGUUACUUAGUGUUUGAUCAUUUGCUUCCUUUAAACCAAAAUUCUGCGUGCGUCCCUGAGUGGAGUCAUGACUUAUUGCUUAUAAACUUAAUAUGAUGUUAUUAAUAUACAAAGUAGAAACUUUAUUUACGAUUACGUUUUUUUUAUUGCGAGUAUUCUUUUGCAUUUAAAUUUUAAGUCAUUUUAGUAGUAACUAAGUUUGUGUUGUAAUAGCUCCAAAAUAAUUGUAUCAUAGUAGAGACAUCUAGAAGGUAAUGUGAGGUAAGUUGGGAAUUUAUCAUAAUAUCGAGGGCAAUGUUAAAGGAAAAAGACAUUUUCUAAAUUUCAGGGGAGACAACUAUAAUUAAAUUUGUAAAAAUUUGUAACUGUUUUUCCACCUAAUCUUUAAAAUUUGCAAAGUUGAACGGGGCAGUUGUCAACUCUCGCAAAGCAUGGCUCCGUCCUUAUCUACAAUACGUAUGCUACAACAAAAAAUGUACACUCUAGUGACAAACGUUUGGCACUUACUUGAAUCAUUCCUAUAUAAAAAGUAUGACGAGACUUGCUAACAGGAAGUGUGAGAAUGUGAGCAUAUUUUGAUCUUAGUUUUUGCAACUAAAUUACCCUUAUAUUCUUUAAUUAGAGUUAUUACACACCUUUUAAUGAGAGUUAUUGCAUUUUAAUCAUGAUACUAAUAAGAAAAAAAUAAAAAAAAAUUACAUCUCAAAAAUGUUGGUAAUUAAGAUUAAAAACUACCCAUCUACAACUAUAUUCACCAAUCAUAUCCCUCAUUUCCAAUUAUUGUAUGUAUUAAAAUUAUCUCCAAUUAUUAUAUAAUUAAGUAUGAUAAUUAAAGUUAACUAUAUUUUAUAUAUGUAUUGGUUUAGAAGAAAAUUAUGAUUAAUGAGAAGACAAAAUGUCAUAAACAAUCAAUGGAAAAAUAAAAUGUUAAUUGAUGAUUAAAUUCACUACAUUAUAUCAUAUUAAUUAAGAAAACUCCCAAAAAAAUUUAUUGAUAAUUAUAAAAAAUUACAACAUAAAAGGCUUACAACUACUGAAAUUGAUAAAAAUUUGUUGUAUCCAAAUCAGAAUGUUUUAGUAACUAUUUUGCUCAAGUUUUGUUGCAUGCACUGGUUUGAGAUGGCAUAGAGAAUUUCCCCUGUUUACUGUCACAAUCCAAAUAAAAUAUGCAACAACUUAAUUUAGAUACGAUAAUAUUCCAUUUUAAGAGUUUUCAUAAUUGUAAUAUGCACAAUAAAGUUUUAAUUGCUUUGUAUAUAAUAAGCAUUUUGUGCAACUGGCAAUUGCUUAAUUUGUUUAUUAUAUGGCUUCUUAGUCAAUAUUAUACCAGCAAUUUAGUUUAAAUAUGAUAAUCUUCCAUUUUCUAAGUUUUAAUAAAUGUAGAAUGCACAAUAAACUUCUAAUUACUUUGUAUACAAUAAAUGCAUUGUACAACUACCAAUUGCUUAAUUUUAUUCAAUAUAUAGUUUCUCAGUUUAUAUUCAUAACAACAAUCAAAGUUUUACACAGAAAUUUAGUCUAUUAAAGGUUUUAUAUCUUGAAAAGAUGUAUUUAAGUGCAAAACACGUGAGUUAUUACUAGUAUUAAUAAAGUUGUAGAGCAUCAACAAAUUUUACUUAACUAACUACUCCUAAAAUGGUCAGCCACCAAGAGAGAUUUAAAGCUCUAUUUGGGUGUAGGUCAAAAGAUCAAAUCACUUGGUUUGCAUUCUAAUAUCCAAACUUUCCUGAAAAUAUUUCGCCACGCGCGUAGUCUUGACAUGUGGUGGUUCACCAGGUUUCUCUUGACUUCUUCAGGUCCCCCUUCUCCUAAUGUAGAGUAUUCUAGUUGUUUCCCUUGGUCUCUUUAGAUCCCUCAUCCUUUAGCGCCUCCUCUUUUAGCAUAGAGUACUCUAGUUGUAAAAUAGAAUUUAUCGUGUCGAAAAAAAAUAAAUUCUAUUUAUUUUUUUAGAAAAUUAUGUUAUCAAACGCAAGUAAAAUAAUUUAUUUCACAAAUUUCAAUCACUUUUUAUCUUUCCAAUCACUUUUUCAUCUCACAUAAAUUACAUCACAAAAAGUGCUACAAUAAUUAUCUCAAAUAAAUCAUCCAAAUAAACUCAUAUCCAAACAAACUCAAUACUAUUGAACAAAAGUAAAAUGUACGGUAAACUCAUAGAGGCCCCACAUCGGCUGUCCCCGAGUUCACCCGGUAGCCCUCAUGACAGGCCCUCAUCGACCUCUCCGGCUCUCCCCACCUCACCCUGAUAGCCCAAUUGCCAUGGCGCACCUGGUCUCUAGUCACUAAUUUCAGUCAGCCUGUAACAUGAACCAAAUUCUACUUGGCCUGACAGAGACAUUUACCCUUCCAUUGAUGUUGGGUGCCAAAGGCAUAUACCUUGAGAGGGGAAGAUGCUUGAACCAAGGACUUGCACUUACUAGGAGUGAUUCUAUUUCAAGAUCUCUCAGAAGAACCUUUCAAUUUAGCAGCUAAAAUUACAGCAAACAUUGAUGAGUGAAGAGGUGACUUUCGGAUCAACCGGCGGUACCAAAAGGCGGGAAUGAUCUCCUGGUGUGUGUACGGCCUCACGGAAGUCGCCUGCUCAAAUUAUCAGAGGUGGGGCUGGAUCUCCCGAUUUUCCGCUGACGAUCUAGUUAGUUUUGAUUGGGAUGGAAAUUAGCAAGAAUUUCCAGAGAGUAGUUCUUACCAGGUAUCUUUUCUUGUGUGUUUUCUGACUGAAAUUCCCGUAUUUACACGGGACAAUUGGGAGGAAUGAACAAUUGGGAGGAAUGACAGUAAGAUUCAACUUUCUAGGACCUGACAGAUUGAGCAUGUCAGUCUGUCUUGAUGGAUCCGUGUUAGGACAGGCCUUUUCAGACGUCCCGUCUCUCUGCAGAUGUCAGUCUGUGAUCUGAUUUCAACGGUCCCAUCAGGCACAGUAGAACUUCAUGAUAGUCACCGUGGUGGCCGAGGUGAUCGAGAUGAAUAGUGGAAACUCAGGUGUGUGACUCACCUCGGUAUGGUAGGCCGAGGUGAGAACAAGCAAAGCCUUGUUAUUGAGAGGGAGCCGGCUUAAAGGAGCCGAGGCAUUUAAGCUGAGCUGAAAUGACCACCUUCAAUGAGUAUUCAUGUCUUGUGGUACCAUUCUAUCUUGUAUCCAUUUGAUUUGCAACUAGAUGGGCAAAAAAAUAUCAUGGAACAUUGCUGCUGUAUAGUGAAGAGGUGAUUUCUGUGUUGCUGAGGUGAGCCCUUCGAACUGGAGAAAUGUUCUGGACGUGGCGUGGCGAUCACCUCAGCUAAGUCACCUGCUAAAGUUAUGAGGGGGGUCUGAAUCCCCCGGUAUAACUCCGACGCUUAAGUCAGUUCGGCUAUAGAGUAGCAAAAAAGUAAUGGGUGAAGUUAGAGUGGUUUUACCAGAAAUUGAUCAUCCCCCCUCUUGGUAGAUACGCUGGGUAUUUAUAGGGGAUUUGUUGGGAAGAGGGACUGGCAGCACGGGUCCCUAGAGAUCGGAGAUGGUCAGUGCAUCUGGUGGAUUUGACUGGCCUUUAUGAAAAGGUUUGAUUGGACACGCCGCCAGGUUCAGGCGGCGUGUGUCAGACCAGCUGUCCAUCAUACGUCAGGCAUAUCAGGAAUCAUUUCCUAUCUUUUGUAGGUGUCCAUUAGUCAGCUGUCACCUCAGCUAAUGGCCUAGAGAUUACAGCCGAGGUGGCACGCAGGGUACGAUCACCUCGAUAAGUAACGGGCCGAGGUGGAGCCUCAGGAGGUAUCAAAGUAUGAGGCCUCGGAUUAUCUGGGCUGAAAUGAUCAUCCUCACCAAGCCCCCCAAGCCUCGAGAAGGGCGAGGUCGUGGUUUCCCGAGGCCGUUCCUUCCCGAAGCUAACGUCGUAUAGAACACGCAACACAGCAAGGACACGUCAGGACUAUAUGGAUGGGACUGAGAGAGGGGUGAAAUGAUGGCUGUCAGUUAUAACGUCGGAUCCGUAAAAUCAACUGUCAGAUGAACAGUAUCUUCAUUAAUAAGGAGAGAGAGGGGUGCUCUAGGGAAGCUCAAAGGUGCCGCCUUUUCGGUUUCCCCCAGUUGCCUAUAAAUAGGGGCCCUUUUAACCGUCUCAUUCUUCACCAAAAAUCUUGAAUCACCUCAGAGCCCUGUUCCUGCGCUUUUUCACUUCGGCAAUUUCUAAAACAGUUUAUUCAAACUAAGUUUACUUCUUUUUCUUUUGCAAUAAUGGUUAGAACGGCUCGUACACACAAGGAGACGGUAAGGCCCGACUUUACCGAGGCAGAGAGGCCUGACCCCUCUGAAGAGAAGACGGCUUCCGACGUCGGGGAAGGAGGUGCGGAGACAUCUCACCGAGCUGGGACAUCUGCGGGGCAGCCUGAGGAGAUCGAGGCCGAGAUCCUGUACAAAGAUGACCUCGGGAAUGAGAUCCGUAUGGAUGAGGGCGUACAAGAGCCGUCUACUCCUCCGAACGUUGAUGCUCUUAAUUAUGGCCAGAUGCCAGCCUUCAGCAGUGUCAUGGAGCAAGCAUCGGUAGCCGAGGUGGUGCGCAAAUAUCCCUGGAGAAGGGACUACAGCAUUUAUCUGCCCCGGCCACACCAGUCAGCCGCGCUACCACCGAAGGGCAGGGUAGCCAUUUACGUGGACCAACUGGAGGCCGGGUUCAGAGUACCAACGACAAGAUUUCUUCGAGACUGCUUGAGGUAUUGGGGGGUGAGAAUCACCCAGCUCACCCCUAAUGCAAUUCGAGUCCUCGUCGAUUUUCAGUUGCUCUGCCGACACCAAAAGAUAGAGCCGACUGUCAACCUCUUCCGCCGAUGCUACUCGCUGAAGAACAGCGGGAGCGAGAAGGGUUGGUUCUACUUCGGGAACAAAGUCCCGAAGUUGGUGGUGGAUGCUCCGAGCUCAAUAAAUGAGUGGAAAAGAAAUUUCUUCUUCGUUCCGGCAGAGGACUUUCCCAGGGAAUUCUGGUGGAGACCACCCACCUCGGUCAAAGAGACGUCCCCGGGCAAGUUGGAGGAGCGCAACUUUCAGAAAUUAACGGGGUCAGGUCUCAGAAUUAACUGUUGGGACUUUUCCGAAGUUGUGCUUGUAAAAGACGGGAUCAGCCGAGCACUGAUCAGCUCGAAUCACCCCGUUUUCUUCUCUACUAGGCUCCAAAAACCUUGUACUUUUCCAUUUCCCCUUUUUUGUUUUUCCUUCUUAAAUUCUAACUAACUUUUCUUCAUCCUUUGCAGUAGUGAAGGUUUCUGACUUGAUAAUUUCGGGAAACGUCGAAGUGGUGAAGAGGGCAACCAAAAAGCGUAAGGAUGCUGUUGAGCCCUCUACCAGGCCGACCAAGAAGACCACCGCAGCGACGGGCGACCGCGAACCUGCCGUGGUGAUCGUGGGCGAGAGCUCACACACCUCGGUCACUCCAGGAGGUUCCCGAGCCUCGGCGAUUUCUGUGAGAAUCCCUUCUCGUGGGGUCACGAUUGCCACUCCACCUCGGGGUCAGGGCGUGACCGUAUUCCUGGAUAACCCCGUCACGGGGUCAUCUUUGUUCAACCUCCACCACGUGCCUUCCAAAGCGGCCGAGGAGGACAAAAGGCACCCCGGAGCGCAUUGGUGUCCGGAGUGGGAAAUUAACGUCAACAACCGCUGCAUGAACCCUCUGGUCGCUCAGGAACUUUUGGUGCAUUCGGUGUUGCCGCGAGAUAGCACUUAUGCCAGAAAGCUCACCCCAGGGGAGCUAAUGCAAAGUGCCUCGAUCUCAUGGGCUUCCACCACGGCCUUCUUUGCCGAGAUGAUCCAACGUUAUGGAAAACUCAUGGAAAACUAUGAGCCUCCUGCUGAGCUCCAGAAGAAAAUUGCCGACCUGGAAGAAAAGCUGAAGGCAACCGAGCUGAAGCGCGACAAGGCCGAGGCGGCUAAGAAGAAGGCCGAAGUCGCGAACAAUUCCCUGGUGACUGCUCUUGAUGAGGAGAGAGAAAGAAUGGCCUAGGAAGAACAGUCGACCAAGGAGGCCAUAGACAAGGCCGGGGUCACUGCCGUGGAAGCCUUCCGGACGUCGGAGUCUUCCACCCAUGACCUCGGCGAGCUCACCCUGCCGAGUUUCAUGUUCGGCUAUACGUCGGCCAUUAACGAUGCGACGUCCUUUCUUUCUUCUGAGCAGCUGGGGUCCCUUCAAAGCGCUCCACACUAUAAUGAGGAUGCCAAGGAACUGUGCGACCGGAUGGUUGAGGGUAUCCAAGCUGGAAAAGACCUAGCCGAUAUCCGUGCCGAAUUCAACAAGUGGUUCCAGGAGUUUGAGUUGGAUGGUGACAGCGCUGAAGGGGGCCACGCCGGCGGAGGAGCUGAAGGGCAGCAGGAAGCCGAGGCGGGCGGAGGAACUACGGGAGGACAGGGCUCCGGGGCAGGGAAUGCUUAGAAGCAUCCCUUUUUUGUAAUUAGGGCCGAGGUCAUGGGUAGCCGACCUCGGUCCUCCAUCUUCCGUACUUCAAUAAAAUUGAUUUCAUAUUUUUGCAUUCUUUCUAAUUGAGUUCAGUUUUCUUCUCUUGACUACUGUUUUGUCCCCUUAUUUUUCGCUUGUAAUGGAAUGAAACUAAAUGAGAAAUAACUUAAAACUUAGGAUUGAAAGUACGUACCCUUCAAGGGUAAUACAAUUUGAGAUUUUCGGCAUGUCAAAUUCGGGGCACCCGAGACCCAUCUCGGUAGGCCAAUUUACAAUAUCCAUUUUGGCUGGACUCGACAACACGGUAGGUCCCUCCCACUUGGGAUUUAAUUUUCCCUGAGGUUCAGCUCAGCUGACUGAGUUCUUCCGGAGAACAAGGUUUUCCGGAUUGAAUCGCAAGUGCUUGACCCGGGCAUUGUAGUAGCCAGCUAAGAUAUUUUAUAAAUGGCGACCUUGGCUGCGGCCAUAUCGCGCUUCUUUUCGGCAAGGUCGAGGUUAACUCGCCGUUUCUCUUCGUUGAUCUCGGCAGUGUAUGCAGCCAUUCGUGGGCUGGGAGUGAUGAAUUCGGUGGGGACGACAGCCUCGGACCCAUAAGUUAAGGAAAACGGGGUCUCUUGGGUUGCUGACCUCGGCGUAGUCCGGUAGGACCACAGCACGCUGGGGAGCUCUUCCAUCCAGGAUAAUCCUGCCUGGUCUUGAGGCCAUGGAGGAGAGUUCGGUUGAAGUUUUCAGCUUGUCCAUUUGCCUGAGGGUGUCCAAUCGAGGUGAAAUGCUGCUUAAUCCCCAAGUUUUCACACCAUGCCUUGAAAAGAUUAUCCGCGAACUGCCUGCCAUUAUUCGAGAUGACCACCCGGGGCAGGCCGAAACGACAGACCACACUUUUUCAAAAGAAUUUUUGAACAGCCGCCCCGGUGAUGCUUCUCAGAGGCUCGGCCUCAACCCAUUUGGUGAAAUAGUCCACGGCCACCACCACGUAAGCAUAAUUACCUGGAACCCUGGGGAAUGAGCCAAUGAUAUCAGUUCCCCGCUGCUCGAAGGGUCAUGGCGAGGUGAUAGGGAUCAUAAGAUUGGUCGGUUGGUGGUGCUCGGGGGUAUGAUGCUGGCAAGAGGGACAGCUAAGGACCAUGACCUGGGCAUCUACCCUCAUGGUGGGUCAGAAAUAUCCGAGCAGUAAGGCUUUUUUAACUAGCAUCCUAUAGCCAACGUGAGCACCACAAAAUCCUUCAUGAAUGUCUUGCAGGAUCCUCUCACCUUCUUUCGGCGUAAUACACCGAAGCCAAGGGCCGAGGUAUGACCUCUUGUACAGGUAGUUGUCCCGAACAGCAUACCGAGCUGCCUUACGUGGCAGUUUCUUGGACUCAGCUCGGUCCUCUGGAAGUUCACCCCGGCUAAAAAAUCGAACCAGCGGUCCCAUCCAGGUGUCCCCUGGGUAGAUGGGGUAUACGACCUCCCCAAUAUAUCCCGAUUCGACCAAGACUUCCACGAGAACCGUCUUGUUCAAAUCAGAAAACGAAGUGGACGCAAGCCGGGAGAGGGCAUCAGCCCUUCUGUUCUGAGACCGCGGUAUCCUUUGGAUUUCGAAGGACUCGAAAUGCGUCACCAACUGGAGGACUUUAGAGAGGUAGCGGUGUAUCACCUCUUCUCUGGCCUCGUAUUCACCCAGUAUUUGGCACACAACGAGUUGGGAGUCGCUAUAGACCAAGAUAUGCGCGGCCCCGAGCUUACGAGCUAGCUGCAGGCCGCCGAUGAUCGCUUCGUAUUCGGCCUCAUUAUUAGAGGCAGCGAAGUCAAAUCUUAAGGCAUAUGAGCACACUUCUCCUUGGGGGUUUUCAAGGAGCAAGCCUGCUCCACUAUCCUCACUAUUGGACGAGCCGUCUACAUGCAAGACCCAUCGUUGCAGUUCGGCGGGAGCUAGAGUAGUAUCUUGAGUGGUCUUAUUCACCUCAUCGAAGGUGAGUUCGGCUAGGAAGUCUGCAAGAGCCUGAGCUUUAAUUACCGUGCGAGGUUCAAAAGAUAGGUCAUACUCUCCCAGUUCAAUGGCCCACUUAGUGAGGCGUCCAGAAGUCUCAGGCCGUGAUAAGACUUGCCGGAGUGGUUGGUCAGUUCUUAGGCAAACGUGGUGGGCUAAGAAGUAGGGCUUGAGCAUUUGAGCUGCAUGGAUUAAGGCCAGCACGAGCUUCUCCGCCGGAGUGUAUCUGGUCUCUGGACUUCGGAGGACUCGGUUGACAUAGUAGACAGGCAUUUGUACUCCUUCCUCCCUUAUUAGCACGGCACUUAUAGUUUCGACCGCAGCAGAUAAGUACAAGAAUAACUUGUCCCCUGGACGAUGUGAGGUGAGUGUUGGGAGGUGGUGAAGGUAUUCCUUCAAUUGUUCGAAGGCCUGUUGGCAUUUCUCAAUCCAAGAGAAGCUAUCUGCCUUCUUUAGUACCUUGAAGAAGGGCAACGCCUUAGAAGCUGACUGCGAUAAAAAUCGGUUCAGGGCUGCUAACCGCCCGAUGAGCCUCUGGACAUCACGGAUGCACCGAGGUGGAGACAUCUCUUGAAUUGCUCUCACCUUAUCCGGGUUCGCUUCUAUGCCCCGCCGGGAGAUGAGGUAGCCCAAAAAUUUCCCCGAAAUGACCCCAAAGACACAUUUCUUGGGGUUCAACAUCAUUCGCGUCUUCCGGAGGACCUCGAGGACCUCUUUUAGGUCGGAAAGAAACGUGGAGGUCGUUAGGAUUUUAAGAAGGAUAUCAUCUACAUAGGCCUCAACAUUUCUGCCGAUCUGAGAUUUGAAUGCUUGGUUGACCAAGCGUUGAUACGUGACUCCGACAUUCUUUAGUCCGAAAGGCAUGGUAGUGUAGCAAUAAGUGCCUUUGUCAGUGUAGAAGGCCGUCUUUUCUUGGUUUUCCUGACUCAUUCCAAUCUGAUGAUACCCCUUGAAGGCGUCAAAGAAACAGAGGAUCUCAUAACCCAUUGCUGCCAUGUUCCGUGCUCUACACGCUUGUUAGCCUCGAGAAGUGACGACCUCUAGAGACCACAACCUCGCUCUUCCCGAAGCUUGGGGGGCUCAGUGAGGAUGGCCAUUUCAGCUCUGCCAGUCCGAGGUCCUAUCCUGUGGAGUCUCCUGAAGCCUCACAUCGGCACGUUGAAUACCAACGUGAAUGCAACCUAUUUAUCACUUCGGCUAAGAACCUCGGAUCGUACGCCGAGGUGACACCGGAAUAAUAAACAAUUACUGAAAGCGGGAAAGGGCGUCUGACACAGGUCAUUGGAAUGGUAUAAAGCUGCUCUGACACCCGCCGUCCGUAUCUGACCACUGCCCUUGCACAGCUUUCCACACUGACCAGUCAGAUCAACCUGAUACGAUGUCCUUGUCAAAUCUCUGAGGACCUGUGUUGACAGUCCCUCUCUCCAAGUUGUACCUUAUAAAUACCCAACACCUCCAUUGAGGAAGGGGAUGGUCAAUUUCUGGUAAAACACUCUAACUUCACCCAUUACUUUCUUGCUAUUCUAUAACCGAACUAACUUAAGUUUCGGAGUUACAACGGGGGAUUCAGACCCCUCUCAUAACUUUAGCAGGUGACUUAGCUGCGGUGACCACCACGUCCAGAACGUUUCUCCAGUUCGAAGGGCUCACCCCAACAAGAUAGAAAUCACCUCUUCAUAUAGCAUUUUCGUUUGAAAGGAUUAUUUCUACACUCGUGGGGUUACACUUGAUUAUCAAUACCAAUGCAAUCACUAGUUUAGAGAGUCAUCACUGCAAGUACGAAGCACAAAUAGGAGAAACUUGUUAAUACCAUUCUUUCUUGUAUCCAUUUGAUUUGCAACUAGAUGGGCAAAAACAUAUCAUGGAACAUUGCUGCUGUAUAGCAUUUUCGUUUGAAAGGACUAUUUCUACACUCGUGGGGUUACACUUGAUUACCAAUACCAAUGCAAUCACUAGUUUAGAGAGUCAUCACUGCAAGUACGAAGCACAAAUAGGAGAAACUUGUUAAAGGAAGAAAUUGAAAUAGGUAAUAAAAGCAGAUAAUAUUAGUAGUCAGUCCUGCUAAGAAAAGAAUACAAGAGGGGACAGGUCAUAGACGGAGGCUUAGCUAAGAAAAAUUCCGUGUUGAUUGAAGGAAAAUCACAUAUGAAAUAUGCUAACAUACCAAUAAGAUGACAUAGUUUUGACAGUAGCCGUAUAGACUAUUAUUCCUGUGUUCUGAAAUACAACAAUAAGCCGUACACACAUAGUUGUGCUCAGAGCACACAUAGUUGUUCUAAUCAUCCUUAAUCCACUUGACUAAGUUGUCGAAAUUCUUGUCAGAACAUCCAUCUUCUUUAAGACUAUUCAUAACCUUUGCUUUUAAAUCCAAGGCCCUCUCCCUGUAGCCUUUAACAGUGACUAGCUGCUCAAUUUUGUUCUCAAGUUCUCCUUGUGCAAUGAUUCCAUUUUCAUCUUUUUCUAAUCCUAAUCCAACCUUCCAAAUAUCACAUAUGUAGCUUUUGUUAGCGAACUGGUCUCCAAAGCAAGGCCAGCAGACAAAAGGGACACCAUUGCUCAUGCCUUCCAUUGUAGAAUUCCAGCCACAGUGGCUGAGGAAGCAGGCAACUGACGGAUGGCUCAGGACCUGUUGUUGAGGUGCCCAACUGGCUAAUCUUCCUCGUCCUUGUAUUCGAUCUCUGAAACCUUUUGGAUAUGCACAAUCUGUUUCUGCAGUUAAAUUACAUCUCACAACCCAAAGGAAUGGCAUAUUGGUGAGUUCAAGUCCCAAAGCCAGUUCUUGGAACUGUGUGUGGUCAAAAACUGUUAAGCUCCCAAAUGCAACAUAAAUGACUGAUUGGACUGGUUGUUUAUCAAGCCACUCCAAGCAAUCCGAGUCUUCGGACCACUAGGAACCAACUGGUUUUCCAAGCCGGUUACUGGCUAGAAGAGGGCCAAUAGGCAACAUUUCUAGGAAUGAGGUGAAGACUGAUGCCUCUAACUCAUUACUUGAGUUGCCGAUAAUCCUAUCAGCCAAUUUAAAUGUUCUGUUAUUUAUUGCCAUAGCAUAAAAAACAAUACCCCGUGUGGUCGCAUCACCGACACUUGCCCAAGCAAAGUGUUCAGAGUCCAUGGCUAAUGUGGCGGGUGAUAACUGAACCAUCUGCUUCUUCAUGAUAGUUCCUGCCACAAAAUUUGCCUUGACAAAUGUCAAAUUUGAUAAUCAUUGAUCUGGCAAAGCUUUUUUUUUUUCGUUUGCUGCAAAAAUUUCCUUGCAUUGAUGAAAACUAAUUCACUUGAUAUGUUUUUCAACUUUCAACUUAUUUUGAAGCAUCCAAAAUUGCACCACCCUGUUCCUAUGAGUUUGUUACUUUGCUUGCAUUUUGAUUUUUACCUUCAUAGGUUCCAAUUCUAAUAAACUUUUUAUUGUUUUACCAUUUUAUGAUUACAAAGAAGUAAGUGCUUAUAUGAAAAUGAUGAAACUAUAAAAGUAUUAUGCUGACAUGAAUCUUACCAGAGUUGUCUAUGAUUCCAUCAUCAAUGAGCUUUGGAAUAUUGAGUUUCAGAGCAUAUAGAGCUGCUGCUACAGGCGAGAAGGAUACUACCCUAACUCCUAUUUUCUUCGCAACCUCCAGUGCCAAACCCAAGAACUCAUCAACAAUAAUGCAUGUGAUUUUGUCACUUUCAGAUUGAUUUAUCUUCUCAAUUAGAGCCUCCAGCUUUGUAGGGAUUACACGAAAAAUCGCCUUCAUUGACUUCGCCGCAUCAUUUCUGUCUUCCCACGAUUCCAGGCCAUCUAAUCUUCCCCAGGUUUCCCCCCUCUCUCCUCUCUUUCUUUGGUUUCCUUUCUUCCUCCCUUCUCCCUUCCUCUCUCUCUCUCUCUCUCUCUCUCUCUCUCUCUUCCUUCGCUAUCCCCAGAAACCCUUUUUCCUGUUUUCCCCGAAGCUCUCCCUCUCUUUCCAUCUUUCUUGUUUUUUGUCUUCUGAUCUCCACCACCCCCUCUCAAUCUCUCCUCCCUCUCUCAGUUAUUUCUCUUCCUUGUUUCUCCUUUCCCUUCAGCCGUUACCUCCUCUCCCGGUUUCUUUUUUCUUGUCCGAAGCCUUCUUGACCGCAGCUCCCUUUUCCUUUCUUGCUUGUUCCAGAUUUUUCCCUCAUCUUUCUACACCUGUCUUGCCACCUAGCCCCUUGCAUGUGUUGUGCAAAAAACCAAGACGCAUGUCUAAUGCUCACCUAAUACACUUAGCUACCAUGUAUGCCUUCCACCUAUUUUGUUUUUUUUUUUUGUUUUUCAAAAAAAAAUUUAAGGUAAACAAAAUAUUAAUUCCUAAUUGAGAUUGCCUUGCAAAAAUUUUAUUUUAUUUGGAAUAAAUUGAAUUUGAAAAGACUAAAAAUAAAUUUUUUCUGAGAAUUUUCCUUUUUUCAGAAAUUUAAUGCAAAAAAUAUUUCAAAAAUGAUGAACCUAAUUCAAUAACAAUAGGUAAUUAUCAUUUUGUGAAUUUUGAUUAACUAAAAAUAAAAUCAAAUUAAAAUCGAAUUAAGAAGAAUUGAAAUUUUGGUGUCUACAAGUAUAAAGAAAACAGUGAACCUUUCAAAUAUAGUGUUGCAAUUUUGUACUUGAAACAAGAAAAAAUAAUGCUGGAUAAGUUAAUUAAGUAGAGUAUAAAGAUAAAUGGAAGAACUGGAAAUUUAGAUGUGAUUAUAUUAAAUGGCAAUUAGCAAAAGUAGUAUAUGUUAGUAUUGUGAACAAAAAUGUAAUUAAAAAUUAGAUGAAAAUUAGAUUUUUGCAUAUGCGCAUGUUGGAGCUGAAGUCCCUGCAUAUUGUUUAAUCAUAACUAAUAGUAUUUUGUUGUAAUAAAAAUAAAAACAUGUUAUGUUCGUAAAUAAAUUUUUUAUCAAAAUAAAAGGAAAAAGAAAAGAAUCAAAGAAAAUUCGUACCAUGACACAAAUGAUGAUUGUGACAAGUGUCAACUAAUGAAAUAUUAGCCUCGUUUGGUAAAUGAUUUUUUUUUUUGGUAUUUGUCUAAAACUUUACUGUAAUUUAAUGUAGAAGUUGUAGGAAAAAUUUUUGAAAUAUGUAAAUUUUUGGGUAUUUUGAAGUGUAUAGUGUAAAAAUUUUGAAAAUUUUUUUGAGAUGACUGUAGUUAAAGUUGUUAAAAAACAUGUAGAAGAUAAACUUGGCCAAAAACUUGUUUGUUAAGCAAAGUCACUACUGGAGUUAAAAAAAUUUUAGGUAUUAACAUGAGAAUUAGUUAGGCAACAAUUGAAAAUUUUGCUUGAAUAUUUGGAAUAAGGAGAAAGAAUGAGAAGGACAAAAAAGUAAAAGAAAGUGGAUUUGCUUAAGGAUUGAUAUUCUAUAUUUUAUAUACUGACAACAUACACACUGUCAGUUUUUGAUAAAUGACAACUAUACAAAAUUUAUAUUUGGAAUCGAACUUUUACACGUACGUCAUAAAUCCAACAGCAACAAUGUAUACAUUGCCUGCGUAUAGAAUUUACUCUUCACUUAACCACCUAUGAAUAUUUUAGUUUCAAUAUGGAUUUAGAUUUAAAUGAGUCAUUCGAAUCCAUCAAAUCAAAACUCGCUAAAUAAAUAAGUCCAAGUAGCAAUGUAUAAGCAUAACAAAUAAUCCAAAAUUGAAUUUAGCUUGAAAAAAAAUACACGUGACAUGCAUUUGGACUAGUAUAUCUACUUUCAAUAAAGAAAAUAUUAAGCCUUUUUUUUACUAUCUAUACAAUAGAUAAAGUUAAAGAUUAGAAGCAUUAUCAUGUAGUGUUUACACACGCUUAAUAUUUUCUAAACUUUCAUUUAUACCUUUAUUAUUAAGAGUAUUUAAUUUUUCUUCAGAUAAAAAAUUAUGAUUUCAAGGGUAGUUGUGUUAAUUAAUUAAUUACACUCCCUCCUGUUUUAAAAUAUGAACUUAAAUUAUGUUAGUAAUUGGCCAAUUGAAAUUAAUUCCCAAAAAGAUCACCAUAUCAUAAAUAUCCUUGACAAAAACUAAUUUUCAUGAAUAAUAUUUUUACAAAAAACCAUAAUUUUGAUUACUUGUGCACACCUAGAAAGUGUCUUACGCACUAAUAUGACAUUAAGUACCAAUUGUUCGUUGACUUUUUUUUUUCUUUACUUGCAAUUGAUCAUUGAUUCAUUUUGCAUACUCUCAAAACCUUAAGGUUAAAAAAAAUUACUCAUAGUUUGAGGAUUGCAUCACAUAUUUCAUGAAUUUUCACAAAAAUUUAUCUACACAAAUUUUACCAUCAAUCAAGUUUAGCAUAAGUCAAUUUAUUUCAUGUACUUAAAAGGCAUUCAGUAAGUUGGUCCCUUAAGGAAUGAGUUUCAAAAUUAUUCAUAGUGAUGCUUAUCAUUUGAUUAAGGUUAAUUGGAAUGAGUUAAUAGAUAUCGUAGGCUCAUUUUGUGAUUGACUAUUAUUUUAAUAAGGAAUCAAUAUUUAUUCACCAAUGUAAUUGAUAUUUUUAAUUAAAAAUAAAAAGUUAACAAAUACUAGAAGAAAUUAAGAGAAUAAAGAAAAUUUAGAAAAAAAAAGAGCAGGAAAAAGAAAAAAAUGUAGACCUAUUUCUAUAUUUUUUGUUAUAAAACACUCUAUGGGUUUCAAAAAAAAAAUCCAUUACUAUUAACUAAUAAAUAAUACUUAGUGAAUGUAGGUGCAUUGUUAUUAUAAUAGAAUACUUAAGAAAGUUUACGUGACAAUAAAUAAUUAGGUGUUUAAAAAGUGUUAAAUCAAGAUGAACUUGAUAUACUUUAAACUCUUUAGAGAAAUAGAUCGAAGACACUCACUUCAUGAUAAUGUGGAACAAAUGGGAUCUAACACUAGAUUAAACUGAGUUAAUGAAUUUUGUACAUGCUAAAUAAAAAUGUCGUCCGAGUUCCCAAAAUGAUAAAGAUGCCACUUUAAAAUAAUUGGGAACGAUGCAUUGGGUCAAGAAGAUCUCAUGGAUGCUAGAACCGAAGACAGGAAGGUGGCAUCUUUAUUCCUUCUCCAUAACAGGCUCUAUUUUUGGGAAGUUCCAAAAAACAAAAAUUGGUGGCCACCACCAAAGUAUUAAAUCUUGAUGGGGUGGGAGGCAGUUUGCCACAAUUGAAUGUGGCCUUGUUUAAAAAAUCCAGACGGGUGCACUGGUGGUUCAGUCUCUUUCGAGUUACCUUUGGACCUCUUCAGGUUUUUCCCCUUCCUCAUAAUAUAGGAAGCUCGACAAAAAAAAAAAAAAAAAAGAUAGGCUCUAUUUUAGGGAAGUUCCAAGAAACAAAACUGUGGGCCCCUUGUUCAUUACCUUUUCUAGCCUGUCUGGGACUUCCUUUAUUACAGAGAAAUUGACAUAAAGAGUGCUUUGCCCAAGCUACAAUUUUCCUUUUUGUCUAUCAUUUAGCCCACUUGUUGUGUUGUCCUAUUCCUGUUACUUCUUCCCACCGUGCAAAGAUGACUCAACUUUGCACCAUAGAAGCAAUUAUUCGUUGGUGGGACGAUUUUUUUUCUUUUUUCUUUUUGUAUUUAAAUGGCAAAAGAAAAAAAAGUAACCUAGGGCUAUUUCUCAAAAUUAGCUUCUAUCACUGAAAUAAAAGGUUAAAGGGAUAAAAACAUGUGAAGUUAUCUUCUCUUUUCAUUGUGUUUUAUUUGUAGUAAAUAAAGUCUAAUGUGAAAGAAUCCAUUGCUUUCUUAGUGAUUAUCAUUGAAUAAAACACUUGGAAUAGCUAAGGGCAUUCUUAGUUCUACGUUGAACUGGUAUAAGAGAUGCCAUAAACUGGAAGCAUAAAGAUACUGCAUGCUGCUGUAUUUCUUUCAGCAUGCAGCAUGUGUGAGAACCCAAAAAUUAUUUUAUAUUUUCUCUUAUUUUUGAAAAAGUUAAUUUAUAUUUUCUUUUAUUUUAAUUUAUAUUUUCUCUUUUCCCUUUUAUAAUUUGGUGCAUGUUAAGUUUCGUAGAGUAUUAUGAUAGUUUGACUGAUUAGUGAGGUGUGUGUAUUAUAUUUGGUGGACAAGAACAGGUGUGGUGCUAGAGAAAUUAUGUGAUUAGAAUUAUUAAGAGUGUAUUAGAAGAAUACAAGAUAAAUUGGUUAUUGAGACGAAAGAGAGACAAAGAGAUAGGAAUGGAAUCAUGUUGUGCCAUGUGUCAAUGCUUGAAACUUCCAUUGACCAAGACUUUUCUCUAGUCUUUCUCUUACAUUUUAACAAAAAAUUUCUUCAUUUUUUCUUGCUCUUCGCUGAAAUUAAGAGAGGGAAAUAGGAGAGAAAAACUUCCACAGUUCAUCUUGAUUUCCUUGCUUGAUUUGUGAAGAAUCCAAAGGCCACCCUUAAUCCACUCCAAUAAACCUUGAGUUAAGCUUGGGAGGUGAGCCUUUGAUGGAGUUAUUUGAGGAAGAGAACUCUUUAGUUGCUUGUCAUUUUGGGAUUUUGAGGUAAAUUUUCUACAUAACAUCUCUUUUUUACUUGUCUCUUGAGAUUUAUGCAAGAUAUGUUAUGAUUGAAGUUAAAGGAAGCAUGUUCAUGGUAAUUUAUGGUUUUGCUAGGGUUUGGUCAAUUUCCAGCUUUAAUGUUCAAUUUUCUAACUUUGAGAUGAAUUUUCAACUUUCAUAAGAGAUGUUUUAGCUUUGAUAUGUGAAUUUUAAGCUUGGUAUGCAAAUUUCCAGCUUUGAAAGGUAAAAUUCCAGCCUUGAUGUAGUUACUUGAAGCUUUAUAUAUAUGGAGUUGUGAUGGAUUUUCUUGCCAAGAAUAUAUUCAUAAGCCUCAUGACAUGUUAGUUAUAAGAUAUAAUACAUUUGCCAUGGAAUUAAGUAAGAAAGUUGGGAAUUUUGAUGGAAAAUUUCUGUUAUGGCUGGCCGAGAGGGAAAGAAGGAAUUUCAGCUUUCUUUUCAGAAAUUUUGUGGUGAUUUUGAUAUACUCUUGUUCAAGACAUUUGUGAAAACCUUGCUCUUCAUAUAUAUGUUGAUUUUGAGCCAAAACAAAGAGGUAUAAGAGGGGAAAAACCUAGUUUUCCAAACUAUUUGCUUGCUAGAAAUUUUCGAAGGAGGCUCUGCACAGUUUUGAGAAAUUUGCUAUAACUUCGUAUAGAAAAGUUAGAAUUGAGUUUCAUUUGUUGCUUUUGAAACUAGACUCAUAGAUCUUCCAACGAUAUAAAAUCCAGGGUUUGGUUCAAUUUCUAUAAAUACCAGCGAAUCGGCAAAAUUCUCUUAAAAAUCAUAACUGUUCUGUUUCUGCACUUAUGAUAGCAGUAAGUUUUAAACUGAAAUUUGACUAAUUUAUGAGCUGAAUUUCAUGAAGGUGUCUUCUAAAGCUUGUGUGUAAGUUUUGUGAUUUUUCGACCUACGGAACUUGAAUUAUACGUUUUCAAAGAAUGUCACUAAAGUUGGGAAUUUUAUCAAAUGGAUUGAGUAGGACUUGAAAAACUUUAAAAAACUUUUUUGGGUUUUAAACCUAACUUUCUUUGGUUAAAUCCUGUAUAUUUUGAUUUGAAAUACUUAGUGUGUUAACCUUAGCAUGCAUGAAUGCUUCACUUGAUCUGAACUCAAUAAGAACUUGAUUUAAAUAAGGAACCGUGGCCUUUUUGGUCUUCUAAUAUUAGGGUUAAACCUGUGGCUUUUGUGGUUGCUAAGUGAAGUUUUGAAUCUUAUAUUUUCUCAUCAUCUCGACUUUAAGUGACUAGACUCUUGAUGUAUUACAUGAUCACAAGACUUAAAAGUGUCCAAGAGGACGAACCAAGGUUGAAGUGAAACGAUUAUGAUCAAGUGGUGAGUGUUCCUUGCAUGUUUGUGCUUUAAAUGACUAAGUGGAAUGUUGUGUAUGUUUGUUUGAGUGUUAAAUGCUUUCCAACGAUUGUUAAAUGGAUUUUCAAUGGACGAGUGUGUACUUUAUCUCACUUGACCUAAGUGAAAGUGGGUUUUCAAUGAUCAACUGAUUGAACAUUACUUGUGCAUGAAUGUAAACCAUCUGGCACUGUACUGUACCGCAUUGGUUGAAUUGGGCCCUUGCCCUUCGUCGCCAGCCUAUUCGAGCCAGAAGCGGAUUCAAUCGAGUAGGUUGAUGACCUUGGGCCACUAUUUUGAUACACUCAAGUAUAACCAUGAAAUCUGGUGGAGUACUGGCCAGUGAAUGAAAUGAUUACUGUUGGAGUUUUAUUUUCAAAUGUUUUCACAUGUCGGAAAUAUAAGGGAGAAAUGGUCGGAGACUGAAUGACUCCAAGUAAGCACGUAUUCUUCUACUGAAUGUGCUAUUGUUAUUUGAAUGCUUCAAAUGUUUUCCUUGGCUGGUUGUUGCUACAUGUAAUAUGCCCGUGAUUUAUUGCUUGAAUGCUUGUUUGGAAACCUUACUGGGCUUUUAGCUUAUUCUUUUAGUUUGUUUUCUUUACAAAAGUGGAUGGUCAGAGCAAAUAAGCGUGAAUUAGGGUGUAUAACCCUCUUGUACUUGUACUUUGGUAGAUAGAAUAUAUUUUGGAUAUUUGAUGUUGUAUCUUACAUUUCAUUUUUGGUUUGUAAUUAAACUUGAAUCAUUGGUUGAAUUAUAAAACUUAAAUGUUAUUUUGGAGGUCUGAACGGUUAUUUUGAUAAUUGAUUGAAGUAAAUGUAGUAAGUCUUGACCAGAGUUGGACAGACGAUCUGCCAAACCCUUGAGUACGCCCUAGGGUAGAAGAGAUGCUAGAGAUGGACGCAUAAAGAUACUGCAUGCAAAUAGGAGUAGAGUGAGGAAGUAAAUAUUGUCUACAAAUACAAAUUUGGCUGUGCUGUAAUGACAAUGAGCCACCCACUUCAGGGGUUAGGAGCCUUCCCAAUUACUACGAUGAGAGUCUUCAAUCAGUGGAGACAAUGACAGACACAAAGGGGUUGGCCAGGGCAGCCAUCUCCAAAUUUUCCAGAAUGCUAUAUAGAGUAUUAGAUUUAAGUUUUAUUUUAAGAUUAGUUAAUAUGUCUACCUCCUUUAAUUUCUCUUUGAAAACAUGUUUUGUAAUACCUCACUCCAGUUUCCUCUUAUAUAUAUAUUAAAUUUCAUUAUAACUUUAAUGUAUUUAGUAUAUCCUUACAUUAGUUAAGGUAAGGAAACAAAUAAUUGAUAAAUAAAAGGAAAUUCAACCAUGUUUAGAAUUAUAUUUAAGUUUUUUUUAAGAUUAGUUAACAUGUCUACCUCCUUUGAUUUCUCUUUGAAAACAUGUCUGGUAAUACCUCACUCUAGUUUCCUUAUAUAUAUAUAUAUAUAUUAAAUUUCAUUAUAACUUUAAUGUAUUUAGUAUAUCCUUACAUUAGUUAAGGUAAGGAAACAAAUAAUUGAUAAAUAAAAGGAAAUUCAACCAUGUUUAGAAUUAUAUUUAUAUGUAAUCAACUUGAUGCAUUAGUCAAAACCCAAUACCCAAUGAUUCAAUCAAGUCAAAAACUAACAUCCAAAGGAACAAGCAAGUAUUGAUCUUUCCUUCAAGAAAAGUCUAAUUUUUUCUCCUUUACAAUCCUAUUAUAUUUUGAUUCACAAUCAUUAAUUUAUGACUUAGAUUUUUUUAUGAUUAUUAAUUUGUCAGCUGUUUUAUCUUAAAUUUGUAUCUUUGAAUUUUUGUGUUAAUUUGUAUAGGUUUAAUGUCUAUUCAUUGAAUUUAGUUAAUAUUUAUGUGGUUCAUGAGUUAAUUUUCGUGUUUUUAAAAACAUUUAGUUGUUAGUUAUCGUUUAUUAAACUUUGGUUUUAAGACUUUGAUUUCAAGUUAGAAUUCAAUAUUUGUUUUGAUAAUUUUUUAUUACUCAUUGUUUGAUCAUUUGCUUCCUUUAAACCAAAAUUCUGCGUGCGUCCCUGAGUGGAGUCAUGACUUAUUGCUAGUGGAAAUUGGAUUGUAAACUUAAUAUGAUGUUAUUAAUAUACAAAGUAGAAACUUUAUUUAAGAUUACGUUUUUUUAUUACGAGUAUUCUUUUGCAUUUAAAUCUUAAGUCAUUUUAGUAGUAACUAAGUUUGUGUUGUAAUAGCUCCAAAAUAAUUGUAUCAUAGUAGAGACAUCUAGAAGGUAAUGUGAGGUAAGUUGGGAAUUUAUCAUAAUAUCGAGGGCAAUGUUAAAGGAAAAAGACAUUUUCUAAAUUUUAGGGGAGACAACUAUAAUUAAAUUUUAAAAAUUUGUAACUGUUUUUCCACCUAAUCUUUAAAAUUUGCAAAGUUGAACGGGCCAAUUGUCAGAUCCCGCAAAGCAUGGCUCCGUCCUUAUCAACAAUACGUAUGCUACAACAAAAAAUGUACACUCUAGUGACAAACGUUUGGCACUUACUUGAAUCAUUCCUAUAUAAAAAGUAUGACGAGACUUGCUAAUAGGGAGUGUAAGAAUGUAAGCAUAGUUUGAUCUUAGAUUUUGUGACUAAAUUACCCUCAUGUCCUUUAAUUAGAGUUAUUAUACGCCUUUUAAUGAGAGUUAUUGCAUUUUAAUCAUGAUACUAAUAAGAAAAAAAUAAAAAAUUUCAAUAAAUUACAUCUCAAAAAUGUUGGUAAUUAAGAUUAAAAUCUACCCAUCUACGACUAUAUUCACCAAUCAUAUCCAUCAUCUCCAAUUAUUGUAUGUGUUAAAAUUAUCUCCAAUUAUUAUAUAAUUAAAUAUGAUAAUUAAAGUUAACUAUAUUUUAUAUACGUAUUGGUUUAGAAGAAAAUUAUGAUUAAUAAGAACACAAAAUGUCAUAAACAAUCAAUGGAAAAAUAAAAUGUUAAAUUGAUGAUUAAAUUCACUACAUUAUAUCAUAUUAAUUAAGAAAACUCCCAAAAAAAAUUAUCGAUAAUUAUAAAAAAUUACAACAUAAAAGGUUUACAACUGCUGAAAUUGAUAAAAAUUUGUUGUAUCCAAAUCAAAAUGUUUUAAUAUAUAUUUUGCUCAAGUUUUGUUGCAUGCACAGUUCUGAGAUAGCAUAGAGAAUUUCCCUUGUUUACUGUCGCAAUCCAAAUAAAAUACGCAACAACUUAAUUUUGAUACGAUAAUAUUCUAUUUUAAGAGUUUUUGUAAUUGUAAUAUGCACGAUAAAGUUUUAAUUGUUUUGUAUAUAAUAAACAUUUCGUACAACUAGCAAUUGUUUAAUUUUGUUUAUUAUAUGGCUUCUUAGUCAACAUUAUACCAACAAUUUAGUUUAAAUAUGAUAAUAUUUCAUUUUCAAAGUUUUAAUAAAUGUAGAAUGCACAAUAGACUUCUAAUUACUUUGUAUACAAUAAAUGCAUUGUACAAUUACCAAUUGCUUAAUUUUAUUUAUUAUAUAGUUUCUCAGUUUAUAUUCAUAACAACAAUCAAAGUUUUACACAGAAAUUUGGUUUAUUAAAGGUUUUAUAUCUUGAAAAGAUGUAUUCACGUGCAAAACACGUGACCUAUUACUAGUAUUAAUAAAGUUUGCCGAGCAACAACAAAUUUUAUUUAACUAACUACUCCCAAAAUAGUUAGUCACCAAGAGAGAUUUAAAACUCUAUUUGAGUGUAGGUCAAGGGAUCAAAUCCUUAGUUUACAUUCUAAUAUUCAGACUUUUCUGAAAAUAUUUCGCUAGCGCGUGCAAAGUCUGGACCGGUGGUGAUUCACUAGGUUUCUCUUGACUUCUUUAAGUCCCCCUCUUUUAAUGUAAAGUAUUCUAGUUGUUUCUCUUGUUCUCUUUAGAUUCCUCCGCUUCUAGCUUAGAGUAUUUUAGUUGUAACAUAGAAUUUAUGGUGUCAAAAAAAGUAAAUAUUUUUUUUUCUUUUUUUUUUACAUCAAACGCAAUCGCCAUUGAACAAAAGCAAAAUGUACGGUAAACUCAUAGCGGUCCCACAUCGGCUGUCCCGGGUUCAUUCGGUGGCCCUCAUGACAGGCCCCUCAUCGACGUCUCCGGCUCUCCCUACCUCACCCUGAUAGCCCAAUCGCCAUGGCGCACCUGGUCUCUAGUCACUAAUUUCAGUCAGCCAGUAACGUGAACCAAAUUCUACUUGGCCUGACAGAGACAUUAACCCGUCCAUUGAUGUUGGGUGCCAAAGGCAUAUACCUUGAGAGGGGAAGAUGGUUGAACAGAGGACUUGCGUUUACUAGGAGUGAUUAUAUUUCAAGAUCUCUCAGCAGAACCUUUCAAUUUAGCAGCUAAAAUUACAGCAAACGUUGAUGAGUAUUCAUGUAUUGUGUUACCAUUCUAUCUCAUAUCCAUUUGACUUGCAACUAGAUGGGCAAAAAAAUAUCAUGGAACAUUGCUGCUGUAUAGUAUUUUUGUUUGAAAGGACUAUUUCUACACUCGUGGGGUUACACAUGAAUACCAAUGCAAUCACUAGUUUAGAGAGUCAUCACUGCAAAGUGCGAAGCACAAAUAGGAGAAACUUGUUAAAGGAAGAAAUUGAAAUAGGAAAUAAAAGCAGAAAAUAAUAGUUAGUCCUGCGAAGAAAAGAAUACAAGAGGGGACAGGUCAGAGACCGAGGCUUAUCAUAAAUUAAAUGUUUGAAAAUAAAAUAUCCAUAAAGAGCCGAUACUUUAAAUAGGUAAUGCGUACUGCAUAUAGUUUAACAUGCAAAUAGUUUAUUAAUUAGUUAGUUAAUUAAUUAGUUAAUUAGUUAAGCAGUUAAUUAGUUUAACAUGCAAAUAGUUUGUUAGUUUCGGACAGACAAUAGCUUUAGUUAAUUAGAUAAAUAGAAAUUAGUUAAUUAGUUAAUAAUUAAUCAAAUAAUUAGUUAAUAGUUAAUUAGUUUAACUAUUAACUAAUUAGAUAAUUAGUUAAACAAUUGUCAAGCAAAUAAUAAUUGUCAAGUAAGAAGAGGGCAAAAUUGGAAGAAAUUUAUUAUCUCACUUCUACAAAAGCUGUCAGAGAGGUUUCUGUAACAAAUUGUUACUGUUCAGGAGAGGUGAAUGCAAUUUCUAAACUUAGAGGGGAAGUCAGUGCAAAUAUCAGAAAUCUCAGGGGAGGUUUUUGCAAUUAUCCCUACCAAAAAUGUACUAACAAGCACAAUUAUUGCACCAAAUCCGACGAAAGUUCAACAGCAUAUUCCCUGUCCCUUAUCCACAUGUCCAAAAUAGUGUUCGAAUAUUGAGCACUUCAAAAUUUAACACCCGUUGAAGUUAAAGGAUGGCAGCAAAAAUACCGAAGGUAAGAAAGACUAAGUGCCUGUUUGAUAACAUAAAAAAGUGUUGAAACUGAAUUCAUUCAGGUAUUCAGAUAUUGUGGGUGUUUAAUAAAUAAAAAUUCACCUGCUGAACUUAUUAAAUGGUGCUGAAUUUGUAUGUAUUUUGUUCAGCACAAGAAUCGUAGUUGAAUGCUUAAUUUGAUAAGAAUCAAGAGAUUUACUUCAACUACUUUAUCUUAUCUACCAAAUAUAUCCCUGUUUGUUAAUUAUAUUCAAAAUCCUUAUCUAAUUAAACAACCUAAUAUUCCCUAUUCAAAAUCCUUAUCUAAUUAAACAAAACAACCUGAUAUUCUCUAUUCAAAAUUUGUUUUUAACAAUAGUAUUUUUUUGCAGUAAUUUUCAUCCACAAACAUUUAUAUUUUGAUAUAUAUAUUUUUUGUGCAGAUAAAUAUUAUUUAUGUGAUGCAGCUUAUCCACACACACGUGACUUUAUGACACUAUAUCGAAAUAUUAGAUAUUGGUUGUCUGAUUUUCGAAAUGUUUUUCGUCCAAGAUCAAAAGAAGAACGCUUUAACCAAGCACAUGCAAGAUUGAGAAAUGUAAUUGAACGUGCUUUUGGAGUAUUAAAAGCUUGUUUUCCCAUUCUCAAAACGAUGAAACCAUACCCUUUUCCCACACAAAGAAACAUUGUCAUUGUAUGCAUUGCUCUUCACAAUUAUUGUCAUUUUCAUACCUAACAAUUUUAAGUUAAUUAAAUCAUAGGUUCUAUUUCCUUUUUGGAUUAAAAAAUAGAAGGGCAAAAUUGUACAAUUUAGCUUAUUAAGCAUUAAGUUAUGAAUAUUUAUCAAACAGUAUAAAUAGAUUCAGCAUUAAGAUUCAGAUAUUUAUAUAUCUCUUUUCAGUGCUUAAAAUUCAACAAAUUAAUUAUUUUAGUAUUCAGAAUUCAGAUUCAGUGUUAUCAAACGAACCUAAGCACUAGUGAGAAACCUACGCCGGUAAUUGGUAUCGCUACUACCACACAUCCUCUGCUGGAACUGGAAGCUGCAAAAUCAGCCGUAAUCAGCCGUCAGCUGCCAAAACCCAUGUUUAAGCUAUAAAGGUUGAUCUUGAGCAAUUUACCAGUUCUUCCAUUUCAUGCAUGAUACAACUACCUCCUGCUCAUAGUAUAGCCUCUUGGUAAAUGCAACAUGAUACAUAGAUAUUACCCAAGUACCCCAAGAGAAUUGAAGUUAGUGAUGACUUUUCAGCAGAUUUCAAGUAAGUGCGUGCAUUUAAGUCCGAAUAAAAAAAGAGCAAAAUUUCUGUUGUGGUACAAAUAGGUUUGGCGGUCAUAUUUCUUUUCUCUUUUUUUUUACCCCGCUGCCUUCCUACCCUCAAUGUUAGACGCAGAAUUCGAAUUCUGAAUCUGACGACAGUUGAAAAGACUUCAAGAGCCCUCCCUGACACUUGAAUAUGAUCAGGUUUGGCAGUCACUUAAUAGCAUCAUUGGAUCUAAACCAUCCCAUAACUUCUAGGACAACUUGAAGGCCAUACGAAUCAUGCUGUCAUUAUUUCUAGGACAACUUGAUGGCCAAAUUCUUAUUAAUUUGAAAUAUAUAGGAUUUCCAAUUUGUGUUGUGGUUCAAAUUAAUAUUUAGUUCCACAACAGAUGUUUCUUACUUUUUUUGAUCUUCCUAAUAUACCCGCACUUAUUAUGAUAAUAGCUUAACUAUAGAGGACAAAAUUGUCGUAUUUAAUAAACAUGGUGAAAUAAUAUAGUCUUACCCUCCUAUCAAAAUAUGAAUUCUUAAUCUUGAAUCUUAACAUGUCAAAUUUGGCUGAAUCAAACUCUACAAGAACCAAUUAAAUCAGCAUAACUGUCCCCGAACAAUGGCAUCAAAAAGAAAGAAAAAAGGUAAUAUUUAAAAUGAUCUUAUCCGAAAUACAAUUUCAUAGAGUCAUUGGAAUAAAAUAAAUAGAGAUACGGGACAAUCCAUGUUGACAAUUGAAAUCCACUUUCUUAGAUGAAGUUGUAAAGAGGCCAGUUCCUCUGAUAUUACCAGUUUAAUCCACCACAAUGAUGCUCCUGUCCAUGGAACAAAUCAACGUAGUUGUUUAUGAUUUCAACUAACGGAUUUCUCCCUUGAGACAAUAAUAAAAUAAUUGGAAACAAAAUGAAUGCUUCCAUAGUUAUGAUCCGAGAAUACAUUUAAAAACAAGAAAAGAAAAGAUGGUACCAUUUAAUAAUAUCCCCAAUAUGUAAGUGAUUGACCAGACAUAUGAUUGUCUAUGUAUGCAGAUAUGUAUUUGCCAAGAGUAAUUGAGUUUAAAUUGCUCGUUGUAUUGGAGAAAUAUUAUUAUCCUUGAGCUACCUAAAUUAUAGCAUUCUUUAUCUAUAUAAUCACGGGUAAUUUAUUAUUAUUUAUGAUAAUUUAACCACAAAUAACUUUCUUUGAGCUUAUUUUCACCGUUGCAGACUAUAGUUCAAGCAAAAGUUUCCAUUUUAACUUAAUGUUUAAAGUACAAGGCUAUAGUUAUUAUCAAUGACAUAUAGUAACGCUUCUCUUCAAAAAAAAAAAAACACAUAGAAGUUCUUUCCAAUUUCAAAAUGGAAACUAGGAGAAAAAUGCCUCACAUAACGUUAUAAUUGCAAUUAUUACCUUGUAGAAAUUUCGAUAGAAGUUUUCUCAAGUUCAUAGUGGAUACAAUUAGCAAUUGCAGCUUAGAGAAGAAAAGAUAAUUGAAGAUUUGUGUAUGUGUUAUUAUGUAAUUCUAAUCUUAGAUCUCAAAAGUUUCGUAACAUAUCCGCACCAGUAAUUAGAUCUGUCAAUCGAGUUUUGUGAGGUAGAUUUUAGUAAGCCCGAACUUGGCUCACAAAUUAAUAGGGUUUCAGGUUUCAAGCCCAAAUUAGAAGGCUUAAGUUUAGCUCAUAUUUUACAUGAGCUUAGGGAUCAAAUCAAACUCCGCCCAAGCCCAUAAUUAAAUACAUAUGCCUUAAUUGGGUCAGGCCCUAUAUAUAUAUAUAUAUAAUUAUAUUUAUAUAUAAGUCUAGAAAGGUUCAAACUCGAUUUAUACUUAAUUUGAGCCUAAUAUUCAGGCUAAAGUUUUAUCCGACCCAAGUAAAUAUUUGGCUCAACAGUCUUUUUUUUUGGACCAGAGACAGUCCUGUCAAUAAUAGGUUAAAAGUUAUUAAAGUUGGAUAUCAUUAUAUAUAAGUUUCCAAUGAUAUUAAAAGUAUUGACUCUAAACAAUUUACAGGACUAACAAUAAGAAAGUUAUGGGUUCACAUAAAUAAUUAUACAGACUUAAGAUCAUCAUGCCUGCCAAAAACAAAACUAUUUGGUCGAAAAUUUUUUUAAUUAGUUCCUAAAACCUAAUAUUUUUCCCCUUUAGAAGGUGGUCGGAAUUGGAGAUUAUAUCUAAAUUGACUCAUUUGUUUUGUGAGAGACAUAAAUUUGCAAUUUAAAUAUGAAAUAUGUUAAAAUUCUUUUGGCAACAUAUUAGGAAUGUUUUGUGCUAUUUCUCUAUGAGAAAGAAAACACAAAUGUUAGUUUAGAUUCAAUCUAAUUAAUUAUAUCCAACUCAAAUAACUUCCAUCUUAUGGCAAUUAUUACUCAAGCCCAAUAAGAAGUAAGAACACUUGCUUAAUUACCAAAAAAUUGUUAAUUUGGUUCUUAAAAUAAUUUUCUUAAUUGUAUACAUGCAUCGCACGUGCUUUUUGUCAGUAUCCUAAAAUAUAUUAGUCUUUAGAUCUAAAUUUUUUUGUUAAAUUUUGAUCAUCAACGUCAUAAUAUAGUACUUUUACGUUCUUUAUUUUCUUUAGCCAGUUACUUUUAAAAAGUUUAUUAAUGGAAAGAGACAGAAAGCAUUCCAAUGUAGUUAACAUAUACCUUAGGAUCAAAAAUUAAAAUCAUGAACCAAACAUUUUUUUAUAAACAAAGCAAUAUAGUUAAGUUAGAAAAAUAAACAUACACGUAAUUUGAAUUCUUUGUAUUCUUUUUAUUGUUAUUUUUGUCAAUAAUGAAGUAUAAAUGAUCCAUCAUAACUUUUUUUUUAACGUGUACAUUCUAACAAAUGAAAUUUCAUAGAUAGAAAUAAUUGGACUUUUUCCAUUUUCCUUUGCUUUUAUUCAUAUUUUUUUAGCACAACCCAAUGCAAAAAAAAGUAACAAGUCUACUUUUUUCAUAUGAGCGCAAUUGUUUUGGUUUCAGUAGUAGUGUUUCUGAUGAUCAUAGAAUUGGAACACGAAUUGUGGCUAAUUAACAAUUUUAAUCUCAAUUUUUAGUAUAUUGGAGUGUUUUGUUUUUUGAAUUGCUAGCUUUUAAUCCAUAACAACUACCAUUUUUGUCAAUUAUUGGAAUGCAAUAAAUCUGUCUAAUUACAAUUGUCACUAUAAAUGAAAUUUACUUAAGUUUAAAGCUUUUCAUUUCAUAACCGCUAUCAUUAUGCACUGGUAUUUCAAUACAAUAAAUAUAUGUAAUCAUUAGAAAACAAGGGUAAUUUGGACAUCACUGAAAACAAUAAGGAUAUUAUUCUUCAUUUUAAGAUUACUCUUACUAUCAUUUUUGUUUUAUCAUUGGAGGUGACUUCUACAAGGGGGGUUGUAUGGAUUUGGUUUGGUCAAUGCAAUACAAAUGAAGCAUUUCUUUGCGAUAACAAUAAUAUUUGUCUUCCCUUGGACUUUAGUGAUCAAAAUUGGGAUUCUAGUGAUUUGGAUGUUAUCUUUGGUAUCAUUUGAAUUGUAUUUCCAACUUUUUGAUUCAUUUGCUAUUCAAUUUAUGUCAUUUUAUGAAUAAUUUUCAGUUUUUUCAGUUUUUUCUUAUUUUGAGGGGUUGAUAUUAAUGAUAGUAACGGUUUGUAUGAUGCCAUUUCAGAUUUUCGUUUUCAAUUGAAUAUUACUAUUUCAAUUAUAAACGUGUCAGAAUUUUUUGUACAUUGUAGGGGUGCAAACGAAUCGAGCCGCUCGCGAGCGGCUCGAUUCGAUCUCGAGCUGCUCGAGCCAGAGUCGAGCUCGAGCUCGAGCUCAAAACAUUAAGCUCGUUAGCUCGCGAGCCGGCUCGCGAGCUCGAGUAUAUAUAUAUUUAUUUUUUUUAUUUUUAUUUUUAAUAGUAAAAUUACAUAAAUAUCCUUAAUAUUUUAUUAUUUAUUAAGAAAAAAUAUUAUUUUAUUAAUUUUUUUAAAAAUAAAAUAAUUAUUUUUUAUUUUUUUCGAGCUCGAGCUUGAAAAUUACCAGCUCGUCGAGCUCGAGCUCGAGUUCGAGUUCGAUGAAAUUAAGUUAAGGUUCGACUCGAUAAGGCCAAAGCUCGACUCGGCUCGGCUCGUUUGCACCCCUAGUACAUUGAAAUUCCAUUUGAUGCAACAAGAAAAAUUCUUCCCCUUCCAAAUUUCAUCGAGUAAUGUUUCUUAAAACAUUUCACUGUUUCUAACUUUAAGGAAAUGUUUCUUUCUUAAUCAAUAUGACAUGAUGCAAUACAGUGACCUUGACAAUCAACCAUUAUUUUUUCUAAACCACCCUCAAUUAAAAUGAUAUGAAACUUUUAACCACAAAUUAUAAAUGGCAUAAUUGAAAUAACAAAAACUAAAUUCACAAUAAUACUUGCACUCCAAAAUACCAAAACUCAUGACACUUUGUAUAGGUUUCUCCAAAUGAGCUUUUGUCAUUGAAAGUAGAGAUUAAGGUAAAAAAGAACAGAUGAAGUUACCUUUUCCUUUCCAUGCGUUUCAUUUGUAGUAAAUCAAAUCUAAUGUGAAAGAAUUUGUUGCUUUUAAUUUUGGGAAACUGUGUUCUAAAUCAACCACAGCAUUGCUGUUGAGCAAAAGUAAAAUGUAAGGUCAAAGUAUAGAGGCCCCUCAUCGACCUAAUCCCUGCUCACCCAGUAAACCAACGCCAUGGUGCACUUCGUCAAUAGUCAUUCAGGAAGCCAGAGGACAUGCAUUUGCUAGGAGUGAUUCUAUUUCAAGAUCUCUCCAUAGAACCUUCCAAUCUAACAACUAAAAUUACAGCAAACAUGGAUGAGCAUUCAUGUUAUGUAGUCUUGGUCUAUUUUGUGUCAAUUUGACUUGCAACUAGAUGGCAAAAACAUCAUGGAACAUUGCUGCUGUAUAGCAUUUUCACUUGGAUGGACUAGUUUUUUAACUCAUUAGUGUUACACUUGAUUACAAAAAUACAAAUCACUAGUUUAUAGAGGUCAUUCAACAAGGGAGAUCCAUAAAGCUACAGCCAUGCCCGUCAUCAAUGACAAUAAUUGGAUAGUUGUACUUUUUAAGGUUGAGCUGCUGCUAUUCAUCUCU